AGUGGACGCUGGCGGUAGGCCUAACACAUGCAAGUCGAACGGCAGCACAGUAAGUUCUUGCUCUUAGCGGUUGCGAGUCGCGGACGGGUUACGUCUACACCUGACUCUACUUUUUCGUGAGGGAUAACGUAGGCGGACUUAUGCUACUACCGCAUACCACCUACGAGUGAAAGCAGUGCAUCUUCCGACCUUGCGCGUUUGCAUGAGGCGAUGUCGGAUUAGCUAGUUGGAGGGGUAAAGGCCCACCAAGGCGACGAUCCGUAGCUGGUCUGAGAGGAUGAUCAGCCACACUGGAACUGAGACACGGCCCAGACUCCUACGGGAGGCAGCAGUGGGGAAUAUUGGACAAUGGGCGCAAGCCUGAUCCAGCCAUACCGCGUGUGUGAAGAAGGCCUUCGGGUUGUAAAGCCCUCUUGUCCGGAAAGAAAAGCAUCACUCUAAUACACCCCUGUUCUGACGGUACCCAAAGAAUAAGCACCGGCUAACUACGUG
Molecule: ribosomal RNA, 492 nt
Filed under: uncultured bacterium
Lineage: Bacteria
Description: partial 16S ribosomal RNA
Rfam family: Bacterial small subunit ribosomal RNA
Source: RNAcentral